Molecule: ribosomal RNA, 496 nt
Filed under: uncultured bacterium
Lineage: Bacteria
Description: partial 16S ribosomal RNA
Rfam family: Bacterial small subunit ribosomal RNA
Source: RNAcentral
AUGAACGCUGGCGGCGUGCCUAAUACAUGCAGGUCGAGCGAACGGACGAGAAGCUUGCUUUUCUGAUGUUAGCGGCGGACGGGUGAGUAACACGUGGAUAACCUACCUAUAAGACUGGGAUAACUUCGGGAAACCGGAGCUAAUACCGGAUAAUAUUUUGAACCGCAUGGUUCAAAAGUGAAAGACGGUCUUGCUGUCACUUAUAGAUGGAUCCGCGCUGCAUUAGCUAGUUGGUAAGGUAACGGCUCACCAAGGCAACGAUGCAUAGCCGACCUGAGAGGGUGAUCGGCCACACUGGAACUGAGACACGGUCCAGACUCCUACGGGAGGCAGCAGUAGGGAAUCUUCCGCAAUGGGCGAAAGCCUGACGGAGCAACGCCGCGUGAGUGAUGAAGGUCUUCGGAUCGUAAAACUCUGUUAUUAGGGAAGAACAUAUGUGUAAGUAACUGUGCACAUCUUGACGGUACCUAAUCAGAAAGCCACGGCUAACUACGUG